AUGACCAGGAGAUCCGCGGUGUUCAAGGCUGCCGCGGCCCCUGCCCGCGGCAACCCUGAGCAGCGACUGGACUACGAGCGGGCUGCGGCUCUGGGCGGGCCCGAGGACUAGCCCGGGGCGGCCGAAGCCCACUUCCUCCCCGGGCACCGUAAGCUCAAGGAGCCGGGCCCCUGCUGGCCUCCUCCCAGGGCGGGAGCCCCGCCCUUUCCCCAGCCUGCUGGGGCGGCAAGGGCCGGGGCUUGUUACUCCCGGCCGGGGCGGCCCCGGGGCAGCAGGAAGAGAGCUGGGGCGGUUCGGUGCCCUUGCCCUGUCUGCCGCCAGCCACCAAGCAAGCCGGCAUUGGCGGGGAGCCCGCCGCCGCCGCCGCCGCCGCCGCCGCCGCCGCCGCCGCCGGAGCCGGCCGCAGCCCCCGGCCCAAGUAUCAGGCGGUGCUACCCAUUCAGACGGGCUCUCUCGUGGCGGCGGCCAAAAAGCCUACGCCCUGGGCGGAGCACAAGGGUGGGGCGGCCUCCCCCGCUGCCACCGCCUCGGACCCGGGCUGACCCCCACCACUACCUCUGCCCGGGCCGCCACCCCUCGCGCCCACCGCCACCGCUGGGAACCUGGCGGCCAGCGAGGGCAGAUGGAAGAGUAUGAGGAAGAGCCCUCUCCAGGGUGGCGGUGGCUCAGGAGCCUCCAGUCAGGCCGCCUGCCUCAAACAGGUCCUUCUGCUGCAGUUGGACCUUAUCGAACAGCAACAGCUGCAGGCCAAGGAAAAGGAGAUAGAGGAGCUGAAGACUGAGAGAGACACGCUCCUUGCUCGGAUUGAACGUAUGGAAAGGCGGAUGCAGCUGGUAAAGCAGGAUAAUGAGAAAGAAAGGCACAAGCUGUUUCAGGGCUGUGAAACUGAAGAGAGAGAGGAAACAGAGCUAUCUGAGAAAAUUAAACUGGAGUGCCAGCCGGAGCUUUCCGAGACAUCCCAGACUUUGCCUCCCAAGCCUUUCUCAUGUGGGCGGAGUGGAAAGGGACACAAAAGGAAAUCCCCAUUUGGAAGUACAGAAAGAAAGACUCCUGUUAAAAAGCUGGCUCCUGAAUUUUCAAAAGUCAAAACAAAAACUCCUAAGCACUCACCUAUUAAAGAGGAACCUUGUGGUUCCUUAUCUGAAACUGUAAACGUGAAUUGAGGAGCCAAGAAACCCCAGAAAAGCCCUGGUCUUCAGUGGACACCCCACGAAGACUCUCCACUCCCCAAAAGGGACCCAGCGUCCAUCCCGAGGAGAAAGCCUUCUCAAGCGAGACAGAAGAUUUCCACCAUAGAAAUGUAUUUGUGUCAUUGGCACCAGCCUCCCCCAUCACGGUUACCAUUAUGGGAAUCCUCUCCAAAGAAGGAGGAGACUGUAGCAAUUCCUUCUUGGAGGGACCACUCAGUAGAGCCUCUAAGGGACCCAAAUCCUUCAGACCUUUUGGAGAACCUGGAUGACAGUGUGUUUUCAAAGCGGCAUGCAAAACUGGAGCUGGAUGAGAAGAGAAGGAAAAGAUGGGAUAUUCAGAGGAUCAGGGAACAAAGAAUUUUACAGCGACUGCAGCUCAGAAUGUAUAAAAGGAAAGGAAUUCAGGAAUCUGAGCCUGAGGUUACCUAAUUUUUCCCUGAGCCAGAUCAUGUUGAAAGUUUGAUGACUACCCCCUUCUUGCCUGU
Cebus imitator (Panamanian white-faced capuchin) is the source of this 1675-nucleotide RNA transcript. It is a transcript of the gene named male-specific lethal 1 homolog, with no coding region annotated. Lineage: Eukaryota; Metazoa; Chordata; Mammalia; Primates; Cebidae. The record is from RefSeq and is a predicted model, not a curated record. The transcript has a single exon.